RNAcentral lists this ribosomal RNA (465 nucleotides) under uncultured bacterium. RNAcentral describes it as "bacterial SSU rRNA". It matches the Rfam family "Bacterial small subunit ribosomal RNA", at positions 338 to 795 of the family's 1533-position model. The record is from RNAcentral.
CCUACGGGGUGCACCAGUGGGGAAUAUUGGACAAUGGGCGCAAGCCUGAUGCAGCCAUGCCGCGUGUAUGAAGAAGGCCUUCGGGUUGUAAAGUACUUUCAGCGGGGAGGAAGGUGUUGUGGUUAAUAACCGCAGCAAUUGACGUUACCCGCAGAAGAAGCACCGGCUAACUCCGUGCCAGCAGCCGCGGUAAUACGGAGGGUGCAAGCGUUAAUCGGAAUUACUGGGCGUAAAGCGCACGCAGGCGGUUUGUUAAGUCAGAUGUGAAAUCCCCGGGCUCAACCUGGGAACUGCAUCUGAUACUGGCAAGCUUGAGUCUCGUAGAGGGGGGUAGAAUUCCAGGUGUAGCGGUGAAAUGCGUAGAGAUCUGGAGGAAUACCGGUGGCGAAGGCGGCCCCCUGGACGAAGACUGACGCUCAGGUGCGAAAGCGUGGGGAGCAAACAGGAUUAGAUACCCGCGUAGUC